Molecule: ribosomal RNA, 253 nt
Filed under: uncultured bacterium
Lineage: Bacteria
Description: partial 16S ribosomal RNA
Rfam family: Bacterial small subunit ribosomal RNA
Source: RNAcentral
UACGUAGGCAGCGAGCGUUGUUCGGAGUUACUGGGCGUAAAGGGCGCGUAGGCGGUGUGUCAAGUCAGGCGUGAAAGCCCCGGGCUCAACCUGGGAACCGCGCUUGAGACUGGCACGCUCGAGUUCGGGAGAGGAUGGUGGAAUUCCCAGUGUAGAGGUGAAAUUCGUAGAUAUUGGGAAGAACACCGAUGGCGAAGGCAGCCAUCUGGACCGACACUGACGCUGAGGCGCGAAAGCGUGGGGAGCAAACAGG